This 367-nucleotide ribosomal RNA is filed under the name uncultured organism. RNAcentral describes it as "bacterial LSU rRNA". It matches the Rfam family "Bacterial large subunit ribosomal RNA", at positions 2099 to 2465 of the family's 2925-position model. The record is from RNAcentral.
CUUUACUGUAGCCUGGAAUUGGGUUCGGGCUUUAACUGCGCAGGAUAGGUGGGAGGCUAUGAGGCGAUUCUUGUGGGAAUCGUGGAGCCAACGGUGAGAUACCACUCUGUUAAGGCUAGAAUUCUAACUUGUUGCCGUUAUCCGGCACGAGAACAGUUUCAGGUGGGCAGUUUGACUGGGGCGGUCGCCUCCUAAAUGGUAACGGAGGCGCGCAAAGGUUCUCUCAGGCUGGUUGGAAAUCAGCCGUAGAGUGUAAAAGCACAAGAGAGCUUGACUGUGAGACGAACAUGUCGAGCAGGGACGAAAGUCGGCUUUAGUGAUCCGACGGCAGAGCGUGGAAUCGCCGUCGCUAAACGGAUAAAAGUUA